This 324-nucleotide ribosomal RNA is filed under the name uncultured eukaryote. RNAcentral describes it as "partial 18S ribosomal RNA". It matches the Rfam family "Eukaryotic small subunit ribosomal RNA", at positions 1470 to 1796 of the family's 1831-position model. The record is from RNAcentral.
CCCUUAGAUGUUCUGGGCCGCACGCGUGCUACACUGAGUGGAUCAGCGGGUCAGGUUGCGCGAAAGCGUUUCCUAAUCUUUAAAUCCGCUCGUGAUGGGGAUUGACGGUUGCAAUUUUCUGUCAUGAACGAGGAAUACCUUGUAAGCGCGGGUCAUCAUCCCGCGCUGAAUACGUCCCUGCCCUUUGUACACACCGCCCGUCGCUCCUACCGAUUGAAUGAUCCGAUGAAUACCAUGGAUUGAGAGUUCGAACAGGUUCUCCUGUUUCAGCUUCUCGAGAAGUGGAGUAAAUCUUAUCAUUUAGAGGAAGGAGAAGUCGUAACA